Molecule: ribosomal RNA, 303 nt
Filed under: uncultured bacterium
Lineage: Bacteria
Description: partial 16S ribosomal RNA
Rfam family: Bacterial small subunit ribosomal RNA
Source: RNAcentral
AGCAGUAGCCGCGGGAAUACGAAGGGGGCUAGCGUUGUUCGGAAUUACUGGGCGUAAAGCGCACGUAGGCGGAUUUUUAAGUCAGGGGUGAAAUCCCGAGGCUCAACCUCGGAACUGCCUUUGAUACUGGAGAUCUUGAGUUCGGAAGAGGUUGGUGGAACAGCUAGUGUAGAGGUGAAAUUCGUAGAUAUUAGCUAGAACACCAGUGGCGAAGGCGGCCAACUGGUCCGAUACUGACGCUGAGGUGCGAAAGCGUGGGGAGCAAACAGGAUUAGAUACCCCAGUAGUCCCUGUCUCUUAUAC